RNAcentral lists this long non-coding RNA (212 nucleotides) under Prunus persica (peach). RNAcentral describes it as "long non-coding RNA (PPER_LNC005129)". Lineage: Eukaryota; Viridiplantae; Streptophyta; Magnoliopsida; Rosales; Rosaceae. The record is from RNAcentral.
AACAAGGGGGUCCAAGGGCUGAGCUGACUAGCUCAGAACUGGCCUUAUUUGAGGAUGCCGAGGCAGAGCACUCUACUGCCGUUCCAGCGGCUGAGGAUCAGACGGAGCAGUCUGCAUCAAAGCCUGUGGAUCAGGCAUAACUGUCUGUUGUAGUUCAGGAGGCUGAAGUGGAGACAACCGCCGCUGCCCCUGUGGUUGUGGUAACUUUCUUU